GUCACUCACUCUCUCUCCCUCUCUCCCUCUCUCUCUCUCUCUCUCUCUCUCUUUCUCUCUCACCUUCCCUUUUACUUACCCAGUUGGAGCUGCAGCUGGGGACAAAGCCCAACUGUUUCCUCAGGAGCAGGGGGUCAUACUAAGGUCACUUGGCUUUUAGGCAAGAGUUUGGACAGUUCUUCAAAGGGAUGUUUAUUUCAUUAGGUGUUUCCAUAAUGCGGCAGUCUUCCUCUGCACAAGUGUUACUGCAGUCAUGGAUGUGGCCUGACUUAGAUGACCUUUUCUUGAUACCAGCUUCUGUUCUAGGUAGCCCCUCCAAGGCCUCAACAGGAUUCCCCCAACUCCAACUGAUCAAGAUAUCACUUCCUCCAAUAGACAUAUAAAUUGCUACAAUCAAGCCUCUUGCUGGAUCCACCGGUGCUGAUUUCUUUCCAGUUUUAUUCUUUCUUUCUCUUUCUACAUUUUCAUUACACAUUUUGUAAAGUGUUAUUUUUAUGCAUUUACAUUGCUAAAUUUCUAUAGAUAACAAUAACCAAAAUGGCUACAUACUUCCUUUCCAUUCCAAAUUGUUCCCAAUAAACCGUACAUAUCACUGAUCUUUCAGUGUCAUUUCAAUCUAAUCUACCCCAAGGGAUCCAUUAACAAGAACCCCAGUUAUCCUCACCUUCUGGGAUGUGUCACAGCAGAUGCCUAUGUCAGAAACCCUCUGAAAAGGAUGGUGACUUGGGAGAUUUAGCCUUUUAUUACAAAAGUGAACAAUGGUAAUGACUUUGAGGAUGUUUUUUUGUAUUUUAAGAGUUGAACCAGAACCAUUAAAUGUUUCUCUGUGGUAAUUAAAAAUUCAUAUAAGCAAAUUUUCCCACAGAGUUUUUCUAGUAGGCAACAUCUGAAAACAUCUACCCAUGUUCUGGUGGAAAAAGAAAUAUUUAGCAACUUCGUUGGAUUUAAGACUUGUUCUGAUUUUAUAGGAAAAAAACAUUUGGUUUUUAUUCAAAAGUUUAAUGGGCAACUCAGAAUUCUGAUUGUGUGCAUAUCAUCUGGACUUGAUUUUAUGAUGAGAUCAGAAAAAAUAAAUUUUAGACUGUUUGA
Passer domesticus (house sparrow) is the source of this 1089-nucleotide long non-coding RNA. RefSeq lists it as uncharacterized. The transcript has 2 exons. NCBI's taxonomy places the organism in Eukaryota, Metazoa, Chordata, Aves, Passeriformes, Passeridae. The record is from RefSeq and is a predicted model, not a curated record.